UACGAAGGGGACUAGCGUUGUUCGGAAUCACUGGGCGUAAAGCGCACGUAGGCGGAUUGUUAAGUCGGGGGUGAAAUCCUGGAGCUCAACUCCAGAACUGCCUUCGAUACUGGCGAUCUCGAGUUCGGGAGAGGUGAGUGGAACUGCGAGUGUAGAGGUGAAAUUCGUAGAUAUUCGCAAGAACACCAGUGGCGAAGGCGGCUCACUGGCCCGAUACUGACGCUGAGGUGCGAAAGCGUGGGGAGCAAACAGG
Molecule: ribosomal RNA, 253 nt
Filed under: uncultured bacterium
Lineage: Bacteria
Description: partial 16S ribosomal RNA
Rfam family: Bacterial small subunit ribosomal RNA
Source: RNAcentral